GGUAGGCCAGACGGUCGCGUGCAAUUAUUGCAUGAGGAAAGUCCGGGCUCCACAGGGCAAGGAUGCCGGAUAACGUCCGGCGUGGGUAACCAUAGGGAAAGUGCAACAGAAACAUACCGCCGAAACAGGUUAUGCUGUGGUAAGGUUGAAAUGGUGAGGUAAGAGCUCACCGGCGUCAUGGAGACAUGACGGCCGUGUAAACCCCAUCCGGUGCAAGGUCGAAAGGGCAUUUAUGGCAGUUGCCCGCUGCCGCCCUACAGGUGUACCGCUUGAGCCUGUUAGCAAUAUCAGGUCUAGAUAGAUGAUCGUCUAAUACAGAACCCGGCUUACAGACCUACCCCU
RNAcentral lists this RNase P RNA (342 nucleotides) under bovine gut metagenome. RNAcentral's name for it is "Bacterial RNase P class A". It matches the Rfam family "Bacterial RNase P class A". Rfam says of the family: Ribonuclease P (RNase P) is a ubiquitous endoribonuclease, found in archaea, bacteria and eukarya as well as chloroplasts and mitochondria. Its best characterised activity is the generation of mature 5'-ends of tRNAs by cleaving the 5'-leader elements of precursor-tRNAs. The record is from RNAcentral.